CAUUGAACACUUCUCCUCCUCUAUCUUCUUCGCUGCCAUUCUCACUUUAUCUCUUGCUGCUUCCAUUUUUCUCAGCUUCACUUCUUCAUCCUCCUUUAGUGUAAUCGGGAAAUGAAAUUCCGGCAAGGAAUAAAACUCGAGUUUUGAGCUUUACAGUUUAAAUUCAAGAACUAAAACGGAUACAAGGAUCAAGAAAAGGUCAAGUACCUGCACCCGGAAUAUAUGAAUCCGUUAUCUUUUGCGAUAAAACCAUCUAAAGAGACUGCACCACCACCAUUGAUGUGUGGAAGAGCUGCUUUAACUUGCUUUUGGGUCUCUAUACCUGUAAAUUCCCAAAGAGAUUAUAGAACAAAGUCUCUCUAAGCCCGUAUCCUGAGUAAGUUUGAACAGUGAGCUCCUCUGGAGCCAAAUCAAUCAUGUUCACGGCAUAGCCCUUGAAACCCGGUAUGGGAUCUCCAUCGGGCAGCUUUGGGUCAUCC
Arabidopsis thaliana (thale cress) is the source of this 479-nucleotide long non-coding RNA. RefSeq annotates it as other RNA. The record is from RefSeq. The transcript is spliced from 2 exons. NCBI's taxonomy places the organism in Eukaryota, Viridiplantae, Streptophyta, Magnoliopsida, Brassicales, Brassicaceae.